Molecule: ribosomal RNA, 450 nt
Filed under: uncultured bacterium
Lineage: Bacteria
Description: bacterial SSU rRNA
Rfam family: Bacterial small subunit ribosomal RNA
Source: RNAcentral
GUGGGGAAUAUUGGACAAUGGGCGCAAGCCUGAUCCAGCCAUGCCGCGUGUGUGAAGAAGGUCUUCGGAUUGUAAAGCACUUUAAGUUGGGAGGAAGGGCAGUAAGUUAAUACCUUGCUGUUUUGACGUUACCGACAGAAUAAGCACCGGCUAACUUCGUGCCAGCAGCCGCGGUAAUACGAAGGGUGCAAGCGUUAAUCGGAAUUACUGGGCGUAAAGCGCGCGUAGGUGGUUUUGUAAGUUGGAGGUGAAAUCCCCGGGCUCAACCUGGGAACUGCCACCAAAACUGCAUGACUAGAGUACGGUAGAGGGUAGUGGAAUUUCCUGUGUAGCGGUGAAAUGCGUAGAUAUAGGAAGGAACACCAGUGGCGAAGGCGACUACCUGGACUGAUACUGACGCUGAGGCACGAAAGCGUGGGGAUCGAACAGGAUUAGAAACCCGUGUAGUCC